GGCGAACGCUGGCGGCGUGCCUAAUACAUGCAAGUAGGACGCACAGUUUAUACCGUAGCUUGCUACACCAUAGACUGUGAGUUGCGAACGGGUGAGUAACGCGUAGGUAACCAGCCUAUUAGAGGGGGAUAACUAUUGGAAACGAUAGCUAAUACCGCAUAACAGUAUGUAACACAUGUUAGAUGCUUGAAAGAUGCAAUUGCAUCGCUAGUAGAUGGACCUGCGUUGUAUUAGCUAGUAGGUAGGGUAAAGGCCUACCUAGGCAACGAUACAUAGCCGACCUGAGAGGGGGAUCGGCCACACUGGGACUGAGACACGGCCCAGACUCCUACGGGAGGCAGCAGUAGGGAAUCUUCGGCAAUGGGGGGAACCCUGACCGAGCAACGCCGCGUGAGUGAAGAAAGUUUUCGGAUCGUAAAGCUCUGUUGUUAAGGAAGAACGAGUGUGAGAAUGGAAAGUUCAUGCUGUGACGGUACUUAACCAGAAAGGGACGGCUAACUACGUGCCAGCAGCCGCCGUAA
Molecule: ribosomal RNA, 521 nt
Filed under: uncultured bacterium
Lineage: Bacteria
Description: partial 16S ribosomal RNA
Rfam family: Bacterial small subunit ribosomal RNA
Source: RNAcentral